UGGUGUCAAAAAAGUUGGCUUUCAGAUUUACGAAGGUGAAUUGAGUGGUCAAAGAACACCUGAAAUAUUGGAUUUAGCUUGGAGAAUUUACAAAGGUGCCAAUGGUAUUCACGUAAGCGCACAUCACAGAAUGGGCAAAUUAAUCAUAAUUAGUUUCAGCUCGGUCCUAUGACGAGUACAAAUGCACAUACAUAGACACUCAUAGGCAUGCACCCUGUGAAGCAGCUACAAUAAAUCGUGAAGCCAUGUGCCAAAUUAUAGAGUGCUGCUCUGAAACACCAUGUAGCUAUACAAGCACACGCAAGGCUGUGGUGGUGCUUUCUAUUAAAUCAUGUAUGACACACCAAACCAUGUAAUUUGCUACUUGAGAUGUCUAAAAUUCUUUGGUUUAGGGACAUGCACCGAAUGAACUACAAACUGCACUAAUAUACAAACAGAUACAUACAUACCUGAUGCGUGCUCAAGGACAUACCAAGACCCCAGGCAGAUACAUCAAAUCUGAACAUACAUGAGGAGAAAGAAGAGAAGUGCAUUACCCCAUCUGAAGAUACAUGAGUAAGAAGCAAGAUAACCGUCGGUCAUUACAUAACCAGAAUUAGAUAUUAAUUUUAUAUUGCCAGAUUUAUGAAAUACCAUAAGAGCACUAAAUCACAAAGUCCUUGAGAAAUUAAUUCUCUAGCUAUCAAAGCAACAGGUCUAUGAAAUCAAAGCAUUACCCUUGCCAAGAUCAUCAUCAGCGCCACCAUGGACGUCAACAGCAGGGCCAACAACUGAAUGUGGUAAACAAAUAUGCCUAUCACAUCAAGGAAAUGUUCCAUAGACAUCUCCAUGGAUUUCUUAGAACAAUAAAAAUACUGGGCAAUGCAACUCAAAAUCAAAACAUAUAUACUCUUCGAUUCAGACUUGUUACUCCCAUACCCUUUCGGCACCUCCUUCUUCUCCCUCGGGAAAUCUGAACCAUUAAGGGCCUUCUCAUCAACACAGCCACCAACUAAGCUGAUGGUUUCUCAUAUAAAAAAUACUAAAUGGGACACUCAUUCAUGGUAACCACCAUGACGAGCUUAAUAGUAUUACAAAAAGAAUUGCCAGAUUUUAUAUUCAAAUGUCAUAUCUGAAUGUAGUAUGCUUAAACAUUUGCAUAUGCUACCUGAUUAGUUAGUGUAGGCAUGACAGGCUUGCACUUGUUGUUCCAUUUUAGCUCUUGAGAACCACAUGACACUGAAUUCCUCUUAAAUAAUAACUUCUCCAACUUCCUUUCUUUCAUGAAGAUAAUGUAUCAUCUUUUGAAAAGAUAUUGUAUCAUGUCAACCAGUGCUGCAAUCU
RNAcentral lists this long non-coding RNA (1323 nucleotides) under Triticum aestivum (bread wheat). RNAcentral's name for it is "long non-coding RNA (TAES_LNC014046)". Lineage: Eukaryota; Viridiplantae; Streptophyta; Magnoliopsida; Poales; Poaceae. The record is from RNAcentral.